Molecule: unclassified non-coding RNA, 261 nt
Filed under: Hevea brasiliensis (rubber tree)
Lineage: Eukaryota; Viridiplantae; Streptophyta; Magnoliopsida; Malpighiales; Euphorbiaceae
Source: RNAcentral
GGGACAAAUCGUGCGUAAUUCCUAUAAGUUUUAGCCCCAUUAGUGAAAAGAAACUAAUAUUGGCUCUUCAAUUCAAGAAGGGGGUGAAGUUUAGAGAGACGACAUAUGUGAUGGUUCCGAUUAUUAAAGAAGCUGGGGAAACGUUGCAACAUUCCCAACAGUACAUGGAUGUAAUGUUGGAUAGGCUGCCUAUAGUCUUGCUACCACGUUGUAGCAUAGAUCAUAAGAUUGAGUUAUUGCCUGGAACAAAGCCUCCUGCAA